UAAUACAAUAAGUAUUCCAAAAGCUAUUACAUCAAAUGAGUGGCUUUGUGGGCAUACUUCCAACAAUACGGUCAUUCUCUAAUACAAUACUCUUAAUCACAUUGUUUGAGUGAUAGUUUGUUUCAUUCUACUAUCCAAUGUGAUACUUCUCUAUAUGAUUCAAUUGAAUAUGAUUUGGAAUAAACUUCCUAAGUCAUAUUCGUAUGCUUUGGCCAAAGAUUCCCUGAAUCAUAACUGAUAGGAGCAUAUUUAUGCGACUUAGUUAGCUUGUUCUCGUGCAUUUAUGUUGUUAUUUCUUAGUCAAUUAUGUAUUUUAAGCUAUUUUCGUGUGUUUGUAGGUUCAAAUAACAAAGUUGGCAACAAAAUGCUAUUUGCAGCAUUUUGGAGCAUUUUUGGGCCAAGAUUGGAUAGUGCAAGCAUAGAGACAUGAGGAUAGACGUUUUUGAAGAUUUGAAGGCUAGAAAUCAGCAUGUGUGUGUGCAAGUUUGUUGACCUACAACUCCAAACAUCCACCAACUACACCUAUUACAUCCACUCAUUACCAAACACUCAUCCACUACACCCAUUACAUCCACUCAUUACCAAACAUCUAUCCACUAGACCCAUUACAUCCACUCAUUACCAAACAUUCAUCCACUACACCCAUUACAUCCACUCAUUACCAAACAUCCACCCACUAGACCCAUUACAUCCACU
Molecule: long non-coding RNA, 696 nt
Filed under: Malus domestica (apple)
Lineage: Eukaryota; Viridiplantae; Streptophyta; Magnoliopsida; Rosales; Rosaceae
Description: long non-coding RNA (MDOM_LNC019933)
Source: RNAcentral